RNAcentral lists this unclassified non-coding RNA (339 nucleotides) under soil metagenome. Its description in RNAcentral is "partial contains 5.8S ribosomal RNA, internal transcribed spacer 2, and large subunit ribosomal RNA". The stretch from base 1 to 120 matches the Rfam family "5.8S ribosomal RNA", at positions 35 to 154 of the family's 154-position model. The record is from RNAcentral.
GAUGAAGAACGCAGCGAAAUGCGAUAAGUAGUGUGAAUUGCAGAAUUUAGUGAAUCAUCGAAUCUUUGAACGCACAUUGCGCCCCUCGGUAUUCCGUGGGGCAUGCCUGUUCGAGCGUCAUUUAACCCCUCAAGCCUAGCUUGGUAUUGGGUGCUUGUCCCGCCUCUCGCGCGGCGACUCACCUCAAAGUCAUUGGCAGCCCGCAUCUCGCCGGCCGUGAGCGCAGCACAGACGCGCUCUUGGCAACGACGGAUCGGCUCUCCAAAAGCUUAUUUCAACCACUGACCUCGGAUCAGGUAGGGAUACCCGCUGAACUUAAGCAUAUCAAUAAGCGGAGGA